RNAcentral lists this ribosomal RNA (465 nucleotides) under Vreelandella stevensii. RNAcentral describes it as "partial 16S ribosomal RNA". It matches the Rfam family "Bacterial small subunit ribosomal RNA", at positions 338 to 795 of the family's 1533-position model. Lineage: Bacteria; Pseudomonadati; Pseudomonadota; Gammaproteobacteria; Oceanospirillales; Halomonadaceae. The record is from RNAcentral.
CCUACGGGGGGCUGCAGUGGGGAAUAUUGGACAAUGGGGGGAACCCUGAUCCAGCCAUGCCGCGUGUGUGAAGAAGGCCCUCGGGUUGUAAAGCACUUUCAGUGAGGAAGAACGCCUGGUGGUUAAUACCCAUCCGGAAAGACAUCACUCACAGAAGAAGCACCGGCUAACUCCGUGCCAGCAGCCGCGGUAAUACGGAGGGUGCGAGCGUUAAUCGGAAUUACUGGGCGUAAAGCGCGCGUAGGUGGCUUGAUAAGCCGGUUGUGAAAGCCCCGGGCUCAACCUGGGAACGGCAUCCGGAACUGUCAAGCUAGAGUGCAGGAGAGGAAGGUAGAAUUCCCGGUGUAGCGGUGAAAUGCGUAGAGAUCGGGAGGAAUACCAGUGGCGAAGGCGGCCUUCUGGACUGACACUGACACUGAGGUGCGAAAGCGUGGGUAGCAAACAGGAUUAGAUACCCGGGUAGUC